Molecule: ribosomal RNA, 433 nt
Filed under: uncultured bacterium
Lineage: Bacteria
Description: partial 16S ribosomal RNA
Rfam family: Bacterial small subunit ribosomal RNA
Source: RNAcentral
AACGAACGCUGGCGGCAUGCCUAACACAUGCAAGUCGAACGAGACCUUCGGGUCUAGUGGCGCACGGGUGCGUAACGCGUGGGAACCUGCCCUUAGGUUCGGAAUAACUCCCCGAAAGGGGUGCUAAUACCGGAUAAUGUCUUCGGACCAAAGAUUUAUCGCCUUUGGAUGGGCCCGCGUUGGAUUAGCUAGUUGGUAGGGUAAGAGCCUACCAAGGCGACGAUCCAUAGCUGGUCUGAGAGGAUGAUCAGCCACACUGGGACUGAGACACGGCCCAGACUCCUACGGGAGGCAGCAGUGGGGAAUAUUGGACAAUGGGCGAAAGCCUGAUCCAGCAAUGCCGCGUGAGUGUUGAAGGCCUUAGGGUUGUAAAGCUCUUUUACCCGGGAUGAUAAUGACAGUACCGGGAGAAUAAGCUCCGGCUAACUCCGUG